This 513-nucleotide ribosomal RNA is filed under the name Musoniella sp. MN122. Its description in RNAcentral is "partial 16S ribosomal RNA". It matches the Rfam family "Bacterial large subunit ribosomal RNA", at positions 1832 to 2600 of the family's 2925-position model. The record is from RNAcentral. Lineage: Eukaryota; Metazoa; Arthropoda; Insecta; Mantodea; Thespidae.
GGUUUCUUGAUAAUUAUAAGAGAUUUAACCUGCCCACUGAUUUAAAAUUGAAGGGCCGCAGUAUAUUAACUGUGCAAAGGUAGCAUAAUCAAUAGUCUUUUAAUUGAAGGCUGGUAUGAAUGGUUGGACGAGGUAAUAACUGUUUCUAGAUAAAUUUUUGUUGAAUUUAGAUUUUAAGUAAAAAUACUUAAUUAAUAUUAAGGGACGAGAAGACCCUAUAGAGUUUAAUAUAUUAUUUAAAUGUUGAUGUUAAUAAAUUUAAUUUAUAAUAAUUUAUUUUGUUGGGGUGAUGAUAAGAUAAUAAAAACUCUUUUUUAAUGUAAAUUUAAAUAAUUAAAUUUUUAAGAUCCAUUAUUUAGUGAUUAUAAGAUUAAAUUACCUUAGGGAUAACAGCAUAAUUCUUUUUGAUAGUUCAUAUAGAUAAAGGAGAUUAUGACCUCGAUGUUGGAUUAAGAAAUAUUUUAGGUGAAGAUGUUUAAUUGAUUUGGUCUGUUCGACCAUUAAAUUCUUACA